RNAcentral lists this transfer RNA (71 nucleotides) under Cordylochernes scorpioides. RNAcentral's name for it is "tRNA-Thr". It matches the Rfam family "tRNA". From Rfam's summary of the family: Transfer RNA (tRNA) molecules are approximately 80 nucleotides in length. Their secondary structure includes four short double-helical elements and three loops (D, anti-codon, and T loops). Further hydrogen bonds mediate the characteristic L-shaped molecular structure. tRNAs have two regions of fundamental functional importance: the anti-codon, which is responsible for specific mRNA codon recognition, and the 3' end, to which the tRNAs corresponding amino acid is attached (by aminoacyl-tRNA synthetases). tRNAs cope with the degeneracy of the genetic code in two manners: having more than one tRNA (with a specific anti-codon) for a particular amino acid; and 'wobble' base-pairing, i.e. permitting non-standard base-pairing at the 3rd anti-codon position. The record is from RNAcentral. Lineage: Eukaryota; Metazoa; Arthropoda; Arachnida; Pseudoscorpiones; Chernetidae.
UCCAGGGUAGCCUAGUGACAUGACAUCUGCCCGGUAAGCGAACACUGUGGGUUCGUUUCCCAUCCCUGGAC